GAAUGACUCUCGGCAACGGAUAUCUCGGCUCACGCAUCGAUGAAGAACGUAGCAAAAUGCGAUACUUGGUGUGAAUUGCAGAAUCCCGUGAACCAUCGAGUUUUUGAACGCAAGUUGCGCCCGAAGCCAUCUGGUUGAGGGCACGCCUGCCUGGGCGUCAUG
Molecule: ribosomal RNA, 162 nt
Filed under: Taraxacum sherriffii
Lineage: Eukaryota; Viridiplantae; Streptophyta; Magnoliopsida; Asterales; Asteraceae
Description: 5.8S ribosomal RNA
Rfam family: 5.8S ribosomal RNA
About the family: 5.8S ribosomal RNA (5.8S rRNA) is a component of the large subunit of the eukaryotic ribosome.
Source: RNAcentral